AUUGAACGCUGGCGGCAGGCUUAACACAUGCAAGUCGAGCGGGGUGAUGGUGCUUGCACUAUCACUUAGCGGCGGACGGGUGAGUAAUGCUUAGGAAUCUGCCUAUUAGUGGGGGACAACAUCUCGAAAGGGAUGCUAAUACCGCAUACGUCCUACGGGAGAAAGCAGGGGAUCACUUGUGACCUUGCGCUAAUAGAUGAGCCUAAGUCGGAUUAGCUAGUUGGUGGGGUAAGGGCCUACCAAGGCGACGAUAUGUAGCGGGUCUGAGAGGAUGAUCCGCCACACUGGGACUGGGCCACGGCCCAGGCUCCUACGGGAGGCAGCAGUAGGGAAUAUUGGACAAUGGGGGGAACCCUGAUCCAGCCAUGCCGCGUGUGUGAAGAAGGCCUUAUGGUUGUAAAGCACUUUAAGCGAGGAGGAGGCUCUUUUGGUUAAUACCCAAGAUGAGUGGACGUUACUCGCAGAAUAAGCACCGGCUAACUCUGUGCCAGCAGCCGCCGUAA
RNAcentral lists this ribosomal RNA (503 nucleotides) under uncultured bacterium. RNAcentral's name for it is "partial 16S ribosomal RNA". It matches the Rfam family "Bacterial small subunit ribosomal RNA", at positions 30 to 523 of the family's 1533-position model. The record is from RNAcentral.